UGGGGAAUUUUGGACAAUGGGCGCAAGCCUGAUCCAGCCAUGCCGCGUGCGGGAAGAAGGCCUUCGGGUUGUAAACCGCUUUUGUCAGGGAAGAAAUCUUCUGAGUUAAUCCCUCGGGAGGAUGACGGUACCUGAAGAAUAAGCACCGGCUAACUACGUGCCAGCAGCCGCGGUAAUACGUAGGGUGCAAGCGUUAAUCGGAAUUACUGGGCGUAAAGCGUGCGCAGGCGGUUUUGUAAGACAGAGGUGAAAUCCCCGGGCUCAACCUGGGAACUGCCUUUGUGACUGCAAGGCUUGAGUGCGGCAGAGGGGGAUGGAAUUCCGCGUGUAGCAGUGAAAUGCGUAGAUAUGCGGAGGAACACCGAUGGCGAAGGCAAUCCCCUGGGCCUGCACUGACGCUCAUGCACGAAAGCGUGGGGAGCAAACAGGAUUAGAUACCCUGGUAGUCCACGCCCCUAAAACGAUGUCAACUGGUUGUUGGGAAGGUUCCUUCUCAGUAACGUAGCUAACGCGUGAAGUUGACCGCCUGGGGGAGUACGGCCGCAAGGUUGAAACUCAAAUGAAUUGAU
This 569-nucleotide ribosomal RNA is filed under the name uncultured bacterium. RNAcentral describes it as "partial 16S ribosomal RNA". It matches the Rfam family "Bacterial small subunit ribosomal RNA", at positions 355 to 914 of the family's 1533-position model. The record is from RNAcentral.